RNAcentral lists this long non-coding RNA (781 nucleotides) under Vulpes vulpes (red fox). RNAcentral describes it as "lncRNA (ENSVVUG00000001356.1)". Lineage: Eukaryota; Metazoa; Chordata; Mammalia; Carnivora; Canidae. The record is from RNAcentral.
AUAGUCACGUGGCCCAUAUGGGAGGCGGCAGAGAAAUGGGCAGGGAAAAUGCCUCCCUAGUUCCCAGACCUGGAGGUGGACUGAGAACCAGCCACAGCUUAGUGCAUUUGCGGGGAACUGAAAACUGCACAUAACACAAUCACAACGGACAUGGAACCCGGUACCGCUGCCAAAGAUCGAGCCAGACCUGACUGUUGCUAUGGAAAGCCCUCCAAGCUAUGCUUAAGUGACCCUGGCCAAGAUCCUCACCUCUCUAAUCUCGGUGACCUCUUCUGCAAAAUGAACUGCUGGGAGGAAUAAAUGAGACACUGCAUGAAACACGCUUGGCACACACAAAGGACCAAGGCAUCAGCCAGCAGCUGGAGACCCAGUUCUGCUGAGUGGCUCUUUCUCCUGGCCCCUCCUGGGCCCUCUGGUCCUGAUCCUACUCUGCUUCUUCAGGAACCACUUUGGACACUUCCUGGAAGAGAAGUAUCCUUCCAAUUGCUAAACAACACCGUGACAUCUGCAGGCCUCUCAGCCCAAAGGUUUGAUUUUCUGAGAAAUUCACUCUGGUGUCUUGGGAAGCUGACUGGCUGCACUGGUUGGCUGCUAUUUCUGGAAGCGUCAGCUAUGAUCAUCCCAAAGCUUUCAUAGUGAGCCACAUGCUUGACUCGUAAGUGCUUUAGGUCAUGAGUUCAAGGAGUGUCUGCCUCUUUCCACGGAGAAUCUCUAGUCAGUGGAAGGGGUACGGAACCCAUCUGCAAAUAAAAAGACAGAGACAAUUAAAAAAAUAAAAGAA